Molecule: unclassified non-coding RNA, 193 nt
Filed under: fungal sp.
Lineage: Eukaryota; Fungi
Description: partial internal transcribed spacer region
Rfam family: Eukaryotic small subunit ribosomal RNA (bases 1-46)
Source: RNAcentral
AAGUCGUAACAAGGUUUCCGUAGGUGAACCUGCGGAAGGAUCAUUACCGAGUUUCAGGCUGAAAAGUCUGUAAUUCCACACUGUGUUUUAAGCCGGAGUGCUCCGACGUCUCUGACGAGACGGACGAGACCCGGCGCAAACCAUUAUUCUCUUGAAUAAAACAAAACUUUCAACAACGGAUCUCUUGGUUCUG